GAAAUUUAACGGAUUUGGCGGCAAGAUAGCCCCUUAGAGGAACCUGCCCUGUAAACGAUGAACCACGAAUGACACAACUUUUCUUUGAAAUCAGUUUGUAUAUCGCUGUUGUCAGUUAGAUUCUUGAGAAUAUUUUCAUUUAUGAUAAAGUCAUUGACUUCAAGUAAAGGUGCAGCUUAUAGAAAAGGUAGAGGUGGGUUACAUUUGUGUGAAUAAAACGGAUAAGAUAAGAGAAAUAGUCUUUGAAGGUGGAUUUAACUGUAAAGCUUAAAGAAGCUUGGUGAGAGCUCUAUCUUGUGUACACACCGCCCGUC
Molecule: ribosomal RNA, 314 nt
Filed under: Tetraclita ehsani
Lineage: Eukaryota; Metazoa; Arthropoda; Thecostraca; Balanomorpha; Tetraclitidae
Description: partial 12S ribosomal RNA
Source: RNAcentral